AGCAGCCGCGGUAAUUCCAGCUCCAAUAGCGUAUAUUAAAGUUGUUGCAGUUAAAAAGCUCGUAGUUGAAUUUCGGGGUUAGUAGGUUGGUCAUGCCUCUGGUAUGUACUGGUCUCACUGAUUCCUCCUUCCUGAUGAGCCGUAAUGCCAUUAAUUUGGUGUUGCGGGGAAUUUGGACUGUUACUUUGAAAAAUUAGAGUGUUUAAAGCAAGCUAACGCUUGAAUACAUUAGCAUGGAAUAAUGAAAUAGGACGUUCGAUCCUAUUUUGUUGGUUUCUAGGAUUGACGUAAUGAUUAAUAGGGAUAGUUGGGGGCAUUAGUAUUCAAUUGUCAGAGGUGAAAUUCUUGGAUUUAUUGAAGACUAACUACUGCGAAAGCAUUUGCCAAGGAUGUUUUCAUUAAUCAAGAACGAAAGUUAGGGGAUCGAAGACGAUCAGAUACCGUCGUAGUCUUAACCAUAAACUAUGCCGACUAGGGAUCGGAUGAUGUUAAUUUUUAAUGACUCAUUCGGCGCCUUACG
Molecule: small RNA, 520 nt
Filed under: uncultured Glomus
Lineage: Eukaryota; Fungi; Glomeromycota; Glomeromycetes; Glomerales; Glomeraceae
Description: SSU rRNA
Rfam family: Eukaryotic small subunit ribosomal RNA
Source: RNAcentral